GACGAACCGUGCAAGCGUUGUUCGGAAUCACUGGGCAUAAAGGGCGCGUAGGCGGCUCGUCAAGUCUGUGGUGAAAGCCCCCCGCUCAACGGGGGAAGGGCCGUGGAUACUGUCGGGCUCGAGGGAGACAGGGGCAGGUGGAACUUCCGGUGGAGCGGUGAAAUGCGUUGAGAUCGGAAGGAACUCCGGUGGCGAAAGCGGCCUGCUGGAUCUCUACUGACGCUGAGGCGCGAAAGCCAGGGGAGCAAACGGG
This 253-nucleotide ribosomal RNA is filed under the name uncultured bacterium. Its description in RNAcentral is "partial 16S ribosomal RNA". It matches the Rfam family "Bacterial small subunit ribosomal RNA", at positions 524 to 776 of the family's 1533-position model. The record is from RNAcentral.